Molecule: long non-coding RNA, 1150 nt
Organism: Elaeis guineensis (African oil palm)
Lineage: Eukaryota; Viridiplantae; Streptophyta; Magnoliopsida; Arecales; Arecaceae
Source: RefSeq, a predicted model, not a curated record
CAUCCUCGAUGCACGGAGAAUUUCUCUUACCAACUUUGUUAGCUGUCCCCUGCAAUUUGUUUCUGCAUUCGGAUUUUUUCUGUUUCUGGUUCGGAUUUCCAGGGUCCCGAGGCGAGUUAUCGUUUCUAAAGAUUGGGAGCGUUUUUAUCGCAUGGGCUUCUUUGGUUGCAUUUAUGGCGGGGAGGAGGUACCAUGGGCAAUUGGGAAUCUCAGGGUUUUGAGAUUUUGUUUUGAGGGCUCUUUUGCGUCGAUACUGCCCCAUUGUGGGGAUUUGGAGGUGUUCUUUUGUUUCUCUGCGGCUUUGGAAGUUGAAGGAAUCAAGACUGUAAGAGGCUUUGGUGGAUCCGUAUUAAUUCUGGGGAAAAGAAUGAUUCCCUUUUGGGAUCUUUGGAAGGAAAAGGAGGAAUUUACUCGUUCUUGCUUCGCCAACAAUCUUGUUUGUGAUCUAGGUUUUUGAAGAAGGUUGAAUUGGACUUUUUUUUUAAAAGAGAAAAAAAAAAGAAGAGCUCGCAAAACAAAACCAUAAGAUGAUCUGAACCCUGAAAUCAAAAGUGGCCUCAAAGGAACCAAACGUUGAGGCCUCGGAUUCGGUGCUGAAGGCAGCUGCUGCUGAUCCACCUGUGGACGAAGAAGAUGAUGACCGUGAUUUCAUUACGAAUGAAAGGAAGAGGCUGCUGAAGGAGCUGAGGAAGAUGGGUAUCCAUGAUGUGGAUUUGAUACAUUGUACGAUAAAUAUUGCGAGAGGAUGCUCUUCUUUGACAAGAUGAUUUCUCAGCCAUUGCAGGAAGCGGGUAAAUCGGUAUCCGAAGGUUUCAAGCCCAAGCCAAAGGUUUAAAGGGAGGGGACAGAGGAAGAGAAAACCUUUAGAAGAAGAGCGAAACGGUUCCUCGCAACACAGCUUGUUGCGGUUAUUAUAUUCUUGUCACUGUUGGGAGGGACAAAUGGUUCUGAAGAUGGUGGUACAUAUGAAGAAGACUAAAAACUUGCCAGUUUGUGCUGAAUUUAUUCCACCAUACAUCAGAAAUUAUAAAUUUGUUGCCGUUGAUUUUGUAAUCUAAUUUAAUAAAUUUCAAUCACUUGUACCGUACAUUAGAAUUUUGCUGAGCUUUGUCAGUUAUGAUAUAAAUUGAAAAUUCACUUUUGGGAAUGU